GGGGUUGAGGCUCAGUGGUAGAGUGCUUGCCUAGCAUGCAUGAGGCACUGGGUUCAAUCCUCAGCACCACA
Molecule: transfer RNA, 71 nt
Filed under: Marmota monax (woodchuck)
Lineage: Eukaryota; Metazoa; Chordata; Mammalia; Rodentia; Sciuridae
Description: tRNA.Ala
Rfam family: tRNA
About the family: Transfer RNA (tRNA) molecules are approximately 80 nucleotides in length. Their secondary structure includes four short double-helical elements and three loops (D, anti-codon, and T loops).
Source: RNAcentral